Molecule: ribosomal RNA, 253 nt
Filed under: uncultured bacterium
Lineage: Bacteria
Description: partial 16S ribosomal RNA
Rfam family: Bacterial small subunit ribosomal RNA
Source: RNAcentral
UACGGGGGGGGCAAGCGUUGUUCGGAAUUACUGGGCGUAAAGCGCACGUAGGCGGCUUUGUAAGUUAGGGGUGAAAGCCCGGAGCUCAACUCCGGAAUUGCCUUUAAGACUGCAUCGCUUGAAUCCGGGAGAGGUGAGUGGAAUUCCGAGUGUAGAGGUGAAAUUCGUAGAUAUUCUGAAGAACACCAGUGGCGAAGGCGGCUCACUGGACCGGUAUUGACGCUGAGGUGCGAAAGCGUGGGGAGCAAACAGG